This 467-nucleotide ribosomal RNA is filed under the name uncultured bacterium. RNAcentral's name for it is "bacterial SSU rRNA". It matches the Rfam family "Bacterial small subunit ribosomal RNA", at positions 329 to 793 of the family's 1533-position model. The record is from RNAcentral.
GUCCAGACUCCUACGGGAGGCAGCAGUGAGGAAUAUUGGUCAAUGGCCGAGAGGCUGAACCAGCCAAGUCGCGUGAGGGAAGAAUGUCCUAUGGAUUGUAAACCUCUUUUGUCAGGGAGCAAAGUCACCCACGUGUGGGUGUUGGAGAGUACCUGAAGAAAAAGCAUCGGCUAACUCCGUGCCGGCAGCCGCGGUAAUACGGAGGAUCCGAGCGUUAUCCGGAUUUAUUGGGUUUAAAGGGAGCGUAGAUGGGUUGUUAAGUCAGUUGUGAAAGUUUGCGGCUCAACCGUAAAAUUGCAAUUGAUACUGGCAGUCUUGAGUACAGUUGAGGUAGGCGGAAUUCGUGGUGUAGCGGUGAAAUGCUUAGAUAUCACGAAGAACUCCGAUUGCGAAGGCAGCCUGCCGCAGCGUUACUGACGCUGAAGCUCGAAAGCGCGGGUAUCGAACAGGAUUAGAUACCCCCGUAU